RNAcentral lists this long non-coding RNA (658 nucleotides) under Bos taurus (domestic cattle). RNAcentral describes it as "long non-coding RNA NONBTAT022431". The record is from RNAcentral. Lineage: Eukaryota; Metazoa; Chordata; Mammalia; Artiodactyla; Bovidae.
UUAUUAUAUACAUGAGAUUUUUUAAAAGGUGUGGGGGGGCUUGGCAAUUUAAAAGCCACAUAUAUUCACUUUUAUUUCCCUAAAUUUGCUUUACAUGAAACACAGAGCAAACCCACACGUUGCUAGGACUUAACUUACAUUUCAUGAUGUUGACACAGUCCCUUUUUCUUCAAUUCUGACUUCAAAAUCUAAAUACAAAUCCUUUGCUUAGUGCAGCAGGGGAAGGAAUUACACCCAUUUUUUCUCUCCUACAAAAACACAUUUUAUUAGUAUUUUAUUAGUAUCAUUUUCCUUAUUUAUGCAAUGACAAUGUGCUGUUAUUCUAUUAUGUACCUUAAAGAAAGGAUGAGUGCAAAAAUAUUUACCAUAUACAAGGCAUCUUCUUUCUGGAAGCAAUGGCUCAGCCUCAUGGUAGUACCUGGCAGCCUCAUGGUAGUACCUGGAAUGUGUGGUGAAAUGGAUAGUUGUACUUUUGCAGGUUGGAGUUAACAUAUAUAGUGGACCUUCAACAGAAUCAAUGGGACGUUAAUUUUUUAAAUGGCUAUGAGAUGCAAUUAAUAUUCCACUGCACGUUUUCCACACUGUUCAUUUCUAAAUCAAAUAUGUAGGCAUUUGUUACCUCUGAUGAUUUCCUCACAAAUAUAACACUUUUUUAGUA